Long non-coding RNA from Gavialis gangeticus (Gharial), 929 nucleotides. RefSeq lists it as uncharacterized. The record is from RefSeq and is a predicted model, not a curated record. The transcript has 3 exons. Lineage: Eukaryota; Metazoa; Chordata; Crocodylia; Gavialidae.
UCUCUUUAAAUCUUUCUCCAUGUCUUUCUCUUGUGACAAUUUUCUUACUUCUACACUUUUUUGUUUUUACCUGUCGCUCUAUAUUUCCCUUUAGUUAUUUUCACUGUUGAAGCAAUGAGGGAAACAGUUCUUUUCUUUCAGCAAUCAGCUAAAUCACAGGGUUACUAAUGUGACUAUCAAGUUUUCUGGGCUCCUGUUUGCUUUGAGGAAGAUAAAUUAACACUAAUUUUAAGGUCUGCUAUGGAAAUAAAGGGAUAUGCUUUUUUGGGAUAUGUACUACACACUCUGCAGGACAAGAUCUUUCCAAAGUGAUGACAAUGAGGUAUGAGAUUCAUAGAAGGGUACGUUGGCUUGUUCAAAUGUUUCAAUGCAAUCUCUUCUAAUCUAUGAUGUUAUUGUUUCCAGUGCAUAUAUUUCACUUUUUAGAAGUCUUCUCGUUUGUUUAAAAGUAUUGGAAACUCAAAGCAAUAACUUGAGUUUAGCUAUGCUGUUUCAUCAUAGAAAUGUUUGUUCUUGCAUGGAUAAAUGAUGGUUACAAGUCUAACUGAUUGCUACAACUACUUAAGCAACUAUGAUAUGGGUCAUCAACUGCUUUAUGAAAAGUGUCAUUUUCAUUCUAGGAUAUAUACAACAUUGGAGAAUCAUAUGUGAUUUCUUUUUGCCCUUUUGAGUUGCUUCCAAACAAAGAAAGCUAAAUUGUAUCAGAUGUAGCACUUUUUGUUUUAACUGGGAACAUGCUGGUUUUAUCCUUUCACUUCCAGUGUCCUAUGGCUUCCAGUGUUCAAUAGGAUAAAGGGGUUCCUUCUUCUCAGAACGUCCUUUUGUUUUCUCUCUUUCAUUAUGAUGCAUAGGGCUGUACCAAACUGAAGGCAGCUGCUGGCUAAUUUUGCGGGCAGAUGUAAUGGCCAGCAGUCAUUUUCAAAUGUCAA